Mesocricetus auratus (golden hamster) is the source of this 1201-nucleotide long non-coding RNA. RefSeq lists it as uncharacterized. The record is from RefSeq and is a predicted model, not a curated record. NCBI's taxonomy places the organism in Eukaryota, Metazoa, Chordata, Mammalia, Rodentia, Cricetidae. The transcript is spliced from 4 exons.
UCUCCACUUACUUCCUUGGUUGGCAAUACCAGCAGGCUCCUCUACCCUCCUGGGUCAUCCAGACAUGAACAACUGAAGACUAUGGGAAAGCCACCUGGCUGUUGGUGACAGCCAGGAUGAAGAAACAGGCUACCUUUUAGCUGAUCCUGCCCUGUCAAAAAUGGCAGAGAAGCAGCAAGUUCGACAUUUGUUGGUUCAUGUCAAAGGUGACUCCAUCUCUGAAGCUGGCAGUCUUCACUCCAGAAACUCAGGAGCCCCAGUAUCCAUCAUGAUACCAACCCCCUCUGAACUUGGAGAACGAUGAGCAAUGGAAAAAGAUGGCUGAGUGGAGCGGCGCGCCUGGCAGAGAGAUUGGAACCAGAGAUGCAGCAGCAGCUCCAGGUGUGGGACCCUGGCUGCCGCAGACACAGGACUAUGUUUUCAGCCCGCCAGGAGGCCCGGCCACCAUGCUUCUGUGAGAAUACAGGCAACACAAACUGGACCUGGUGUAUUUUUUUUCUUCCUGUUUUUGGGGAGAUUGCAAGAAUGGGAGAGUGUACCUGGGAGGAAAAGGAAGUGAGUGUGAUCAGGAUGAGUUGUAUGGAAUUCCCAAACAAUUAAUAAAAAUAUCACAUUGUCUAAAAAAACCUCAACUAUACAAUUUGAUGAUUCUCAGUAAGGUCAUAUAGCUACACAGCCAUCACAACACGUUGAUUCUACCUGAGUCCUAACAUCCCUACAAGAAGUACCAUGUCCGUUCACAGUCUCACCUGCAUCAGCCUCUAGUGCACCUGUUGUGUAGCUGUGUGUAUUCCAGAUAUAUAUCUCCUACCAGGGAAUCAUGUAACAUAAUUCUCUAGCUAUGGUGUCUUCUACAUGUGUGUUGUAGAUAUGCUGCUACCCCAUUCCUUGCUCUGGUCACACAAUGUUUAUUGCAGUGUUUCGACUUUACACAUUUGCUUAUCCACCCGUCACCUGAUGGGCAUGGAGGUUGCUCCACAUUCUGCUUGUUGUGAACGAUGCUGCUGUGAACACUCAUGGACAGCAAUUUUUAAUCAGAAGUCUUCAUCAGAAACUGCACCUGACACCUUCACCGUGUCUGUCUGACACUUGCCUAUAAAGAUCUUGAAUCUCCCAUUGAGUCCCACCAUUUGACUCUCUUUCUCAGUAUCGUUGUCCAGUGAUUUCAUCUCUCAUUCUUUUGCAACGGAACCAACCUGCC